UACGGAGGGUGCAAGCGUUGUCCGGAAUCACUGGGCGUAAAGGGUGCGUAGGCGGUUUGUUACGUCUGUUGUGAAAUCCCCGGGCUCAACCUGGGAAUGGCAAUGGAUACUGGCAAGCUAGAGUGUGUCAGAGGAUGGUGGAAUUUCCGGUGGAGCGGUGAAUUGCGUAGAGAUCGGAAGGAACAUCAGUGGCGAAGGCGGCCAUCUGGGACAACACUGACGCUGAAGCACGAAAGCGUGGGGAGCAAACAGG
This 253-nucleotide ribosomal RNA is filed under the name uncultured bacterium. Its description in RNAcentral is "partial 16S ribosomal RNA". It matches the Rfam family "Bacterial small subunit ribosomal RNA", at positions 524 to 776 of the family's 1533-position model. The record is from RNAcentral.